Molecule: ribosomal RNA, 1386 nt
Filed under: uncultured bacterium
Lineage: Bacteria
Description: partial 16S ribosomal RNA
Rfam family: Bacterial small subunit ribosomal RNA
Source: RNAcentral
AGAGUUUGAUCCUGGCUCAGGAUGAACGCUGGCGGCGUGCUUAACACAUGCAAGUCGAGCGAGAAAAAUUUCUUCGGGAAUUUUUCUAGCGGCGGACGGGUGAGUAACACGUGGGCAACCUGCCUUAUAGAGGGGAAUAGCCUUCCGAAAGGAAGAUUAAUACCGCAUAAUAUUAUUGAAAGGCAUCUUUUAAUAAUCAAAGGAGCAAUCCGCUAUAAGAUGGGCCCGCGGCGCAUUAGCUAGUUGGUGAGGUAACGGCUCACCAAGGCGACGAUGCGUAGCCGACCUGAGAGGGUGAUCGGCCACAUUGGAACUGAGACACGGUCCAGACUCCUACGGGAGGCAGCAGUGGGGAAUAUUGCACAAUGGGGGAAACCCUGAUGCAGCAACGCCGCGUGAGUGAUGAAGGUCUUCGGAUUGUAAAGCUCUGUCUUUAGGGACGAUAAUGACGGUACCUAAGGAGGAAGCCACGGCUAACUACGUGCCAGCAGCCGCGGUAAUACGUAGGUGGCAAGCGUUAUCCGGAUUUACUGGGCGUAAAGGGAGCGUAGGCGGAUACUUAAGUGGGAUGUGAAAUACCCGAGCUUAACUUGGGUGCUGCAUUCCAAACUAGGUAUCUAGAGUGCAGGAGAGGAGAAUGGAAUUCCUAGUGUAGCGGUGAAAUGCGUAGAGAUUAGGAAGAACACCAGUGGCGAAGGCGAUUCUCUGGACUGUAACUGACGCUGAGGCUCGAAAGCGUGGGGAGCAAACAGGAUUAGAUACCCUGGUAGUCCACGCUGUAAACGAUGGAUACUAGGUGUUGCGGGUAUCGACCCCUGCAGUGCCGUAGCUAACGCGAUAAGUAUCCCGCCUGGGGAGUACGCACGCAAGUGUGAAACUCAGAGGAAUUGACGGGGACCCGCACAAGCGGUGGAACAUGUGGUUUAAUUCGAAGCAACGCGAAGAACCUUACCAGGACUUGACAUCUGGAGAACCUUUAUGAAAGUAGAGGGUGCCCUUCGGGGAACUCCAAGACAGGUGGUGCACGGUUGUCGUCAGCUCGUGUCGUGAGAUGUUGGGUUAAGUCCCGCAACGAGCGCAACCCUUGUUAUUAGUUGCCAGUAACGGCAUGCUGUUGCUGUGCUCUCUAAUAAGACUGCCGGUGAUAAACCGGAGGAAGGUGAGGACGACGUCAAAUCAUCAUGCCCCUUAUGUCCUGGGCUACACACGUGUUACAAUGGCUGGUACAACGAGCCGCUAACUCGCGAGAGCAAGCAAAUCUCUUAAAGCCAGUCUCAGUUCGGAUUGCACUCUGCAACUCGAGUGCAUGAAGUCGGAAUCGCUAGUAAACGCAGAUCAGCACGCUGCGUUGAAUACGUUCCCGGGUCUUGCACUAACCGCCCGUCA